AUUGAACGCUGGCGGCACGCCUAACACAUGCAAGUCGAGCGGUAACAUGAUUAGUAGCAAUACUAAUUGAUGACGAGCGGCGGACGGGUGAGGAACACGUAGGAACCUGCCCAAGAGAGGGGGAUAACUAAGGGAAACUUUAGCUAAUACAGCAUAUUCUCGAGAGAGGAAAGCUGCCUGCAAGGGUGGCGCUAUUGGAGAGGCCUGCGGUCGAUUCGCAAGUUGGUGAGGUAAUAGCGUACCAAGGCGAGGAACGGUAACUGGUCUGAGAGGACGCCCGUUCACACUGGGACUGAGACACGGCCCAGACGCCUACGGGAGGCAGCAGUGGGGAAGCUUGGACAAUGGUGGCAACCCUGAUCCAGCGAUGCCGCGUGAGUGAAGAAGGCCUUCGGGUCGUAAAGCCCUUUAGGUUGGGAAGAAGGUUGGUAGUUUAAGAGAUAAUCAACUUGACUGUACCAGCAGAAUAAGCACCGGCAAACUCUGUGCCAGCAGCCGCCGUAA
Molecule: ribosomal RNA, 504 nt
Filed under: uncultured bacterium
Lineage: Bacteria
Description: partial 16S ribosomal RNA
Rfam family: Bacterial small subunit ribosomal RNA
Source: RNAcentral